CAAUAGCGUAUAUUAAAGUUGUUGCGGUUAAAAAGCUCGUAGUUGGAUUUCUGCUGAGAACGACCGGUCCGCCCUUUGGGUGUGUAUCUGGCUCUUUCUUGGCAUCUUCUUGGUGAACGUUGCUGCACUUGACUGUGUGGAGCGCUACCCAGGACUUUUACUUUGAGGAAAUUAGAGUGUUUCAAGCAGGCAUACGCCUUGAAUACAUUAGCAUGGAAUAAUAAGAUAGGACCUCGGUUCUAUUUUGUUGGUUUCUAGAGCUGAGGUAAUGAUUAAUAGGGAUAGUUGGGGGCAUUCGUAUUUAACUGUCAGAGGUGAAAUUCUUGGAUUUAUGAAAGACGAACUUCUGCGAAAGCAUCUGCCAAGGAUGUUUUCAUUGA
This 380-nucleotide ribosomal RNA is filed under the name uncultured eukaryote. RNAcentral describes it as "partial 18S ribosomal RNA". It matches the Rfam family "Eukaryotic small subunit ribosomal RNA", at positions 592 to 976 of the family's 1831-position model. The record is from RNAcentral.